This 465-nucleotide ribosomal RNA is filed under the name uncultured bacterium. Its description in RNAcentral is "partial 16S ribosomal RNA". It matches the Rfam family "Bacterial small subunit ribosomal RNA", at positions 339 to 795 of the family's 1533-position model. The record is from RNAcentral.
CUACGGGGGGCUGCAGUGGGGAAUAUUGGACAAUGGGGGAAACCCUGAUCCAGCAAUGCCGCGUGUGUGAAGAAGGCCUGCGGGUUGUAAAGCACUUUCGGUUGGGAGGACUGCUUCUAGCACUAAUAUUGUUGGAAGUUGACGUUACCUUCAGAAGAAGCACCGGCUAACUCCGUGCCAGCAGCCGCGGUAAUACGGAGGGUGCAUGCGUUAAUCGGAAUUACUGGGCGUAAAGCGCGCGUAGGCGGCUAGAUCAGUCGGGUGUGAAAGCCCCGGGCUUAACCUGGGAACUGCAUCCGAUACUGUCUAGCUUGAGUACAGGAGAGGAGAGUGGAAUUCCACAUGUAGCGGUGAAAUGCGUAGAUAUGUGGAGGAACACUAAUGGCGAAGGCAGCUCUCUGGCCUGAUACUGACGCUGAGGUGCGAAAGCGUGGGGAGCAAACAGGAUUAGAUACCCCUGUAGUC